AAUCUUCAGGGCAGGGUGAAAUUCCCGACCGGCGGUAACAGUCCGCGAGCGCGAGAGCGCAUGAAUGGGUGCGAUUCCCAUACCGAUAGUACAGUCUAGAUGGAAGAAGAUG
This 112-nucleotide non-coding RNA is filed under the name marine eukaryotic metagenome. RNAcentral's name for it is "FMN riboswitch (RFN element)". It matches the Rfam family "FMN riboswitch aptamer (RFN element)". Rfam says of the family: The RFN element is a highly conserved domain that is found frequently in the 5'-untranslated regions of prokaryotic mRNAs that encode for flavin mononucleotide (FMN) biosynthesis and transport proteins. This element is a metabolite-dependent riboswitch that directly binds FMN in the absence of proteins. In Bacillus subtilis, the riboswitch most likely controls gene expression by causing premature transcription termination within the 5' untranslated region of the ribDEAHT operon and precluding access to the ribosome-binding site of ypaA mRNA. The record is from RNAcentral.